GUUUUCACAUAAGUUAUAAAAAAAAAAUUAACAUUUUAUUAAUGAUUUUUAUACCAAGUCACAAUUUGAAUAUUUGUUUAGUGUAUGAACGCUUUAACUUAUGUUAAGAAAAAAAAAAUAAAAUAAAAUAACUAGAAGUAAAAUAAUUCGAUACAAAAUGGUUAAAAAUAAAAAGAAAGUUACUGUAAAAAGUUGUAAUACAUUUACUCAUCUGUUGCUUGGGCGCUUAAGCGUUUGUUCGUUCGGUCGGUCGUUCAUUCAUUCAUUCAUCCUUUUUUUUUUUUUUUUUUUUUCAAACAAUUAUUUUCCGUUUUUUUAAAAAAAAAUUCACAUAUUUUAUAUAUAUAUCAGUGCAAUGAGCUUGACAUACUGAUUAAGCAAAAACUGAUAUUAGAAAGUUAGUUAAAUUGAGUUUUUUUUUUGAAUUCAUAUUUAGUUGUUUCUUUUACAUAAAAGAGUUGUAAGAGCGUUGAAAAAAAAUAAUAGACAGAGUUUUAUGCAUCACAAGCGCACACACAUAUAUAUACAUCCUUAUAUUAUACAUCGUAAAUAAAAAAAGCAAAAGAUGGUUUCAUCAGAGUUUGAAAAUAGUAAAAUUAAGCUUCCUUAUGAAAACGAAAUUACGAAACAAAUCGUAAAUAAAAUUUUGGAUAAUUUAAAUGAUAAGCAACAAACGGCAUAUGUUGGAUAUAGCAUGAAUAAAAACCAAAUCGUAAAAUACUUUCAUGAAGCUGAGCAGUUAUUCAUUUAUCAUGACAUUAACAAAUCAGGUGAAAUCGACAUAAAAUUAUUUCCACAAAUGGCUAGACAACUAAAACAAGUUUAUAGUAUAAGAGAUGUUAAAGAAUUUGAAAAAGAAAUGUACAUAAAAAAAAUUGAUAAAAUGAAUUUGCCAAUUUUUUUGACAUUAUUAAAAAGAAGAAUGAAUCAACUUAUUGAUAGUGAUGAAACUUUUUUUAAACAUUUUAAUAUAUUAGAUAUGAAAAAAGAAAACAAAAUUGAUCUUAAAAAAGUAAGUGGUUUUAUUAAAACCGUGGGGGAUAAGGUAAAUUCAGAAAAUUAUGAAUUUUUUAUUAAAUACAAUUUGGAAAAUAAUAAAAUGAUACAACCAAAAGAUAUUGUAUUAAAUGAACAAAAUAAACCAACUGCACUUUUUUUUCCUGCCUACAAAAAUAUGUUAACUUUUUAUAAAUAUCUUUAGUCUAAUUAAAGAAAAAAUGAAAAAAAAAAAAAAAAAAAACACAUCUAUAUAUAUAUAUACAAAUACGUACAAUACAUACAUGUUCCCUUUAAGUAGGCAAUUUUAAUCAUUAAACAUAUUUUUUUAUUUUUUUUAUUUUCCUGUACUGUAAUUAAAACUUUGUGUUAAUCGAUUUGGGUAUAACUAACAUUUGGGCAAUCAUAAAUAGUUAUUUUUAUGGUUAAGUCUGGUUUGGUACUUGUUUUGUUUUUUAAAUACAAAAAUGCCAAUAUA
This 1474-nucleotide long non-coding RNA is filed under the name Piliocolobus tephrosceles (Ugandan red Colobus). Its description in RNAcentral is "lncRNA (ENSPTEG00000004062.1)". The record is from RNAcentral. Lineage: Eukaryota; Metazoa; Chordata; Mammalia; Primates; Cercopithecidae.